RNAcentral lists this ribosomal RNA (119 nucleotides) under Triticum aestivum (bread wheat). The record is from RNAcentral. Lineage: Eukaryota; Viridiplantae; Streptophyta; Magnoliopsida; Poales; Poaceae.
GGAUGCGAUCAUACCAGCACUAAAGCACCGGAUCCCAUCAGAACUUCGAAGUUAAGCGUGCUUGGGCGAGAGUAUUACUAGGAUGGGUGACUUCCUGUGAAGUCCUCGUGUUGCAUUCC